GGUAUGACUCUUGGCAACGGAUAUCUUGGCUCUCGCAUCGAUGAAGAACAUAGCAAAAUGCGACAUGUGGUGUGAAUUACAGAAUCCCGCGAGCCAUCGAGUCUUUGAACGCAAGUUGUACUUGAGGCCAUCCGACCGAGGGCACGCCUACCUGGGCAUCACGC
RNAcentral lists this ribosomal RNA (164 nucleotides) under Pigafetta elata. RNAcentral describes it as "5.8S ribosomal RNA". It matches the Rfam family "5.8S ribosomal RNA". Rfam says of the family: 5.8S ribosomal RNA (5.8S rRNA) is a component of the large subunit of the eukaryotic ribosome. It is transcribed by RNA polymerase I as part of the 45S precursor that also contains 18S and 28S rRNA. The record is from RNAcentral. Lineage: Eukaryota; Viridiplantae; Streptophyta; Magnoliopsida; Arecales; Arecaceae.